RNAcentral lists this ribosomal RNA (301 nucleotides) under uncultured bacterium. Its description in RNAcentral is "partial 16S ribosomal RNA". It matches the Rfam family "Bacterial small subunit ribosomal RNA", at positions 509 to 807 of the family's 1533-position model. The record is from RNAcentral.
CAGCAGCCGCGGGAAUACGAAGGGUGCAAGCGUUACUCGGAAUUACUGGGCGUAAAGCGUGCGUAGGUGGUGGUUUAAGUCCGUUGUGAAAGCCCUGGGCUCAACCUGGGAAUUGCAGUGGAUACUGGGUCACUAGAGUGUGGUAGAGGAUAGUGGAAUUUCCGGUGUAGCAGUGAAAUGCGUAGAGGUCGGAAGGAACAUCUGUGGCGAAGGCGACUAUCUGGGCCAACACUGACACUGAGGCACGAAAGCGUGGGGAGCAAACAGGAUUAGAUACCCGCGUAGUCCCUGUCUCUUAUAC